Mus musculus (house mouse) is the source of this 1708-nucleotide long non-coding RNA. RefSeq annotates it as predicted gene, 31482. NCBI's taxonomy places the organism in Eukaryota, Metazoa, Chordata, Mammalia, Rodentia, Muridae. The record is from RefSeq and is a predicted model, not a curated record. The transcript is spliced from 3 exons.
UAUCCGUGGCUCACCCGACUUUGUUGACGACUCUCUCAUCUCAGUUCCAGAUAGUCCUGGAGAGCCACAUCAGCACUUCAACCACGCCUGUAGCUUCUGCAGACGUCUUGGCUGCAGCCUGCCUGGCUCAGUCUCUUUAGCACUCAGAAGUAAAUACCUCUGAACUUGCCUGGCUCCAUCUUUCCAGACCUUUGUUCACAUCAGCAGUUGAUUUUCUUCCUCCCAAAGGACCAACAUCAGCGUUGUCAGCUGUCUUAGAGGCCAACUCAGUUCUACCAGACAACCACGCCAAACUCAUCCCUGCAUGUCUUCGCGGUGAAGUCAACCAGGCUAGCGCGCAGCUCAGCCGUCAUCACCUUGUGUUUAGCUUGUUGCGCAUGGCUGGUGCGCAGCUCUUGCUCUUGUUCCCUGAGCCACACCGAUUGAGCCUUCUAAAUGUAGACUUUAGCAAGACCUGAGGCUAAAUUCCAAGUCACAGAAAGGCCCUCGGGACCUCGGAGGCCUGGCCAGGUCUGUCUCUUGGAUGCUCUCUUCUACACCCUUUGCCUUAUUUUCCAGGUGACUCUCUGCGUCUCAGACAGCCCUGAUUUCAGAUUGUUUGCUCUGUUUACCCCCUAAAUACCCAAGUAGCUCACUCUCUAGCCUUCUUUCAGGUCUUGAGUAGAUGCUGCAUUAUCGGAGAGUCUUUCCUUCACCAACUUAGUAGUUCACUCGCUGUGGUCACACACUCUCGGGGACAUCCUUACCCCUGUUUAGUUUUCCCCCAGAAUUCAUUCUCGGGGUGGACAUAUUUUGUUUAUUUGUUGACUGUAAUCCUCCAAUAGAACACCACAAAGUCUUUUAAAAGAGGUUGUUUCUCAUAUUCACUGUUGUAACACUAAUGUUCAGAACACAGCCUGCUAUGUAGUAGGUCCAAUCAAUACUGGCAAAUAGAUAAAUUAAUAAUGAAAGAAUCAAGUUACAAAUUCUUAGGGGAAACUGCUUUCCUGUAUCUCCAAGCCAUGGCUCUGCCUGUGCACUGUUUGCUGUUGUUAUUUGCUCUUUCCCUGAAGGUACAGGUAGCCCUUGGGAAAUUUAACUUCUCAAAGCUGGGGUAGAAGAGGGGGGUUGAUCUUUGACCUUCAGCUUUUGAAAGGCCCAAGGCAUCAGCUGUCUUUGUGAUGAGUGAAUACUGCACAUAUCUCCAGAGAAUCUCUGGCUUCACGGCUUUUAAAAAGUUCAUAAUUUGCACUAUUAAUUUCUUUCUUUCUUCAAAGGUUUUCUAGACAGUGUCCUAGGGAGCUUGUCUGUGUGUUUGUCCAGUUAUUGCUUUGUUUUCUCUUUCAUUUUGGGAAAUAUUUUAGACUAUCUGGUCCACCAUAUUCCUGAAUAAGGAGCCUGUCGGACCUACCCAGAAGACUGACCAGCUCACAUGUUACCAUAGAAAACUGCUGUGAUCAGACUCUGGAAAUCCUCACCACUGUGACAGUGGUUUGUCGUGCUGAGAUGCAGAUGUUCCUGGCCUACUCAGCCUUCCAAGACAGAGGAGACAGAGUGAGAAAAAAUAACCACCCUUGGCAUCGACAACCGGCAUGUCAGAGCUCACAGAAACAGUGUUAGUCAUCAGGAAUGCUGCCAUGGUGAUAGGAAUGUUGGCUGGUGUCUUCAGUAGCCUGUGUCAGGCGGGAGCUGCCUGUUGGUGACUGUCGGUGGCCAUAUAAACAUUGGA